AACUUUUGACAACGGAUCUCUUGGCUCUCGCAUCGAUGAAGAACGCAGCGAAAUGCGAUCAGUAAUGUGAAUUGCAGAAUUCAGUGAAUCAUCGAAUCUUUGAACGCACCUUGCACCCUUUGGAAUUCCGAAGGGUAUGCUCGUUUGAGUGUCAUUGUACUCUCACACUCUCUGAUCCUUUGGAUUCGGGGAGCGGUGGACUUGGGUGUUUGCUGCUUUUCGUUGUGGCUCACCUCAAAUGCGUUAGUGCACCUCUUGGUUGGACAUAGUACGGCGUGAUAAGUAUCUUCGCCGGCACCUCGCGAGAGGGUGGCCGAUCGAGAGCUCUGUGCUUUCCAACCGUCUUCGGACACCAUCUGACAACUUGACCUCAAAUCGAGUAGGACUACCCGCUGAACUUAAGCAUAUCAAUAAGCGGAGGCU
Molecule: unclassified non-coding RNA, 423 nt
Filed under: uncultured Sebacinaceae
Lineage: Eukaryota; Fungi; Basidiomycota; Agaricomycetes; Sebacinales; Sebacinaceae
Description: sequence contains ITS2
Rfam family: 5.8S ribosomal RNA (bases 1-154)
Source: RNAcentral